ACCUGGCUCAGAAUCAACGCUGGCGGCGUGCCUAACACAUGCAAGUCGAACGAGAAAGUGGAGCAAUCCAUGAGUACAGUGGCGUACGGGUGAGUAACACGUGACUAACCUACCCUCGAGUGGGGAAUAACCUCGGGAAACCGGGGCUAAUACCGCAUAACAUCUUCGGAUCAAAUGCGUAAGCAGCUUGAGGAGGGGGUCGCGGCCGAUUAGCUAGUUGGUGAGGUAAUGGCUCACCAAGGCAAUGAUCGGUAGCCGGCCUGAGAGGGCGCACGGCCACACUGGAACUGAAACACGGUCCAGACUCCUACGGGAGGCAGCAGUGGGGAAUUUUGCGCAAUGGGGGAAACCCUGACGCAAGCAAACGCCGCGUGGAGGAGGAAAGCCCUUUGGGGCGGUAAAGCUCCUUUCGCAUCGGGACGAUUUAUGACGGGUACCGGAAGAAGAAAGCAACCGGCUAAA
RNAcentral lists this ribosomal RNA (462 nucleotides) under uncultured bacterium. RNAcentral describes it as "bacterial SSU rRNA". It matches the Rfam family "Bacterial small subunit ribosomal RNA", at positions 17 to 501 of the family's 1533-position model. The record is from RNAcentral.